ACCCAUGUCUUUUGAGUACCUUCGUUUCCUCGGCGGGUCCGCCCGCCGAUUGGACAACAUUCAAACCCUUUGCAGUUGCAAUCAGCGUCUGAAAAAACAUAAUAGUUACAACUUUCAACAACGGAUCUCUUGGUUCUGGCAUCGAUGAAGAACGCAGCGAAAUGCGAUAAGUAGUGUGAAUUGCAGAAUUCAGUGAAUCAUCGAAUCUUUGAACGCACAUUGCGCCCCUUGGUAUUCCAUGGGGCAUGCCUGUUCGAGCGUCAUUUGUACCUUCAAGCUCUGCUUGGUGUUGGGUGUUUGUCUCUCCUCUGCGUGUAGACUCGCCUUAAAACAAUUGGCAGCCGGCGUAUUGAUUUCGGAGCGCAGUACAUCUCGCGCUUUGCACUCAUAACGACGACGUCCAAAAGUACAUU
This 413-nucleotide small RNA is filed under the name Epicoccum sp. MS-2015. RNAcentral describes it as "eukaryotic LSU rRNA". The stretch from base 110 to 263 matches the Rfam family "5.8S ribosomal RNA". The record is from RNAcentral. Lineage: Eukaryota; Fungi; Ascomycota; Dothideomycetes; Pleosporales; Didymellaceae.